AUGGACUUCCCUCCCAAAGUCUCGGCUUUGCCCCUUUCCACGGGGAAGUUUAAGGGCUGGGCAACUCUCGAUCCCACAUCUCCCACCCGAGAUGAUAUUCCAACGCUCCGGAUUGAACCCGACACACGGGGCAAACCGGAGAGACCUCGUGCCAAUCCGAAUCAGAGCAGCAACAGAGAGAUGAGGUGGAGUCGGGGAAAAACCGCCCCUGGAGGGUGUCAAAGGGGGGGAGAUCUGGGUCGCAGGGUUCCAAGACGACAACAAACAGGACGCCUGUUUGAUCGCGGUCACUUUCUUCCAAGGGCUCCCAAAGUCCGGCUCAGCAAGCGAAAUCCCCAGCUCUUUGGCAAAAGAUGGAAAACAUAUUCAGACAGCUUUCAAAGGAAUUAGACCAGAAGGAGAACUGUGAAAAUCCAGAUGCUGUUGGAUUCGAAUCACCAUCAACACCUGGCAACUUGCCCAAUCAUCCAGGGUUGAUGGCAUCUAGGGUCCAACACUGAGCUGUCAACAUGUUUCUCAUCCUUGGAUUACAAAAAUAUAUGAAGAUCAAACCUAACUGCAGGUAAUAGUGAAAUUUUCUGAUUUUGCCUCUUCAGAUAUGUUGGACUUCAGCCUUCAGAUCAACUUACCAUGUAAACAACAACAACAACAACAACAACAACAACAACAACAAUAAUAAUAAUAAUAAACGUUAUUUAUAUUCCGUUCUGUCUCACCGAGGGGACUCAGAGUGGAUUACAGGUACAUAUAUGGCAGACAUUCAAUGCCAUUAUACAUAAACAGAGGCAGGCUUCCCUCUUUUCAUUUCUGACAUCCAGCUGUGCUUGAAUCGGCCAUGGGGGGGGGGGGGGGGGUUGCUGUUGUUUCAUUUUCCACGCCAAAGAGCCAUGUCAUCCUUGGACCCCUUUCCUGGUCGGGUUUUUGCCAACAUGUUUUUCAAGGCACCUUUUACCUCCCUGCCAAAGUGGUACCCUCUUUCCCCCAAAAUGAGACAUACCCAUAAAAAAGCCAUAGUAGGAUUUCUAAGCAUUUGCACAAUAUAAGCCAUACCCUGAAAAUAAGACAUAGUGAUAGGCAUGGCUGUGCAGCAUACAAGGUCAGCUCCCCCUGUCAGGUUCCAGUUGUUCCUUGUGUGCUGCAAGCUGAGGCAUGGAGGGAGACAUAGGAAGUGAAAGUAAAAGUCUCAGUUGAAGUGAAGAACAGUAUGCUCGGUUUUGGGUAUUGUGUGUCCUCAGGGGGAAGAAGUAACGCUUUGGAGGCCUUUUACUCAUCACUGUGGGUCUCUCCCCCCAGCACCAACCAGCAAAAGUAUAUGGGUCUCUCCCACCCCCCACAAACACCAGUAAAGCUGCUGCUCCCCAGCACUGACCAAAAGCAGUCUGUGGGUCUAUCUCAUGCCAUUCAAACACCAGGAGAUGGGGGAUAGCUUCAGCAAGCAGUCUACUACUGAACCAAGAGAGAGCAUCCCAUAAAUGCAGAUUGUUGCACCAUACUUAAUAAAAAAUAAGACAUCCCCUGAAAAUAAGCCAUAGUAUGUCUUGAGGAAAAAUAAAUAUCAAACAAUGUCUUAUUUCUGGGAAAACAUGGUACCUAUUUAUCUACUUACAUUGCUGUUUUCAAACUGCUAGGAGAGCAGAAGCUGGGCUGACACUGGGAGCUCACCCUAACCCGGGCUUGAACUGUCAACCUUUCGGUUGGCAGGAUCAUCUAUAGCAAGAGGUUUAAACAACUGUGCUAGCCCAGUUGGGUGAGCUCCUGGAUGUGGAAGCCUCAAAAAUCUGAGGAACAAAAGGUUGAGAACCACAAAGGUACCAAAACUGAAAUACUAACUUUUUAGAUGUUCAGGAUUAAGAAUAAUAAGAUAGCAUCAUAGUGUUGGAAGAGACAACAAGGAUAAUCCAAACCAACUCCCUGCCAUGCAGGCAAAUACAUUGAAAGCACCCCCAACAGACGACCAUCCAUCCUCCACAUUAAAACUUCCAUAGGAGACUCCACCAUGCCCUGAGGCAGCAUAUUCCACAGUCUAACAUCUCCUAUCAUCAGGAAGUUCUUCUUAAUGUUUAGGUAGAAUAUCUUUUUCUGCAAUUUGAAUUUCUGAGUAAGCAGGUAUGCCAAAGACCAAUAGUCUAUUUCAGAUGGCAUCUGGAUGGCUUUCAUCAACAAGUCAUAAAAAGCGGCAACUUCAAAAUAAACACAGGAGUAUCCCACUACAUGGUCCAAGAGAUUGUUGAUAAGCUGGGUGAGCCAACUAGCACUUCCAUGUUUCUAUCCUCUGACCUGUCAUACCAAUAGUCCAGUAAUGUAGGGCUCCCUAUUUUAGCUAGUACCUGGAAAUAACCAAUUGCAAAUAACUACUUGGUUUAUAUUUAUCAAAAUAUAUAUCUCGUCUUCUCUAAAAGGACCACAGGGUGACACACAUUAAAAUCAGUUUAAUCACAGAGUUCUAGAGCUGUCACAUGUUCCAUUGUGUGUUGGUGACAACAAGAUGGUUGGCAGGAAAGUGGGCCAAUCAUUUGUAGAAUGCAAGUCAGAAGUGAACUCAAAACCACUUUGUAGGUACCUCAGAGAAACAUGAGAGUAAAGAUUACUUUUCUAAGAUUCUCAGCUGUAAUGGUAUCCCACUGUUUCUUUGGGCUUAAAAGUGUAGCUAUAAGGGCUUACUUUUAAAGGCAACUUUCCAAACUCUUGUUUGAGCUUGACAAUGUCCAAGAAUGGAAACUAAUCCACAGGUACUCAUACAUAAUCCUGAAAUAUCAGCACUUAUUCUGCAGU
This 2772-nucleotide long non-coding RNA is filed under the name Anolis carolinensis (green anole). Its description in RNAcentral is "lncRNA (ENSACAG00000036565.1)". Lineage: Eukaryota; Metazoa; Chordata; Lepidosauria; Squamata; Anolidae. The record is from RNAcentral.